GAAAUGCGAUAAGUAGUGUGAAUUGCAGAAUUCAGUGAAUCAUCGAAUCUUUGAACGCACAUUGCACCCUUUGGUAUUCCAAAGGGCAUGCCUGUUCGAGCGUCAUUUGUACCCUCAAGCUUUGCUUGGUGUUGGGCGUCUUGUCUCCAGUUCGCUGGAGACUCGCCUUAAAGUAAUUGGCAGCCGGCCUACUGGUUUCGGAGCGCAGCACAAGUCGCGCUCUCUUCCAGCCAAGGUCAGCAUCCACAAAGCCUUUUUUCAACUUUUGACCUCGGAUCAGGUAGGGAUACCCGCUGAACUUAAGC
RNAcentral lists this unclassified non-coding RNA (305 nucleotides) under plant metagenome. RNAcentral's name for it is "partial contains 5.8S ribosomal RNA, internal transcribed spacer 2, and large subunit ribosomal RNA". The stretch from base 1 to 105 matches the Rfam family "5.8S ribosomal RNA", at positions 50 to 154 of the family's 154-position model. The record is from RNAcentral.